RNAcentral lists this transfer RNA (30 nucleotides) under Dicranopteris linearis. Its description in RNAcentral is "partial tRNA-His". The record is from RNAcentral. Lineage: Eukaryota; Viridiplantae; Streptophyta; Polypodiopsida; Gleicheniales; Gleicheniaceae.
GGCGGACGUAGCCCAGCGGAUCAAGGCAAU